UCCUGCCUCAUUGAGACAUGAUGAGAUUGGCUUGACAACGCAACAGAUUUUUCAUAAGCGAUUUCAGGAAGAAAUGUCCGGUACAAAACCGGUCCGGUAUUAUUUUUUGGAUCGUAAAGGUUUUUUUAUUUCUGCUCCGGGGAGUUUUGAUGAAGCAAUGGAUACGAGUUACACACACACACACACACACACACACACACACACACACACACACACACACACACACACACAACUCUAAACACCCAUUCAGACAUUUGUCUACCUAUACAACAAAGCAAAUGACUCUGUAUUGUUUAUAAACAUUUUUUUUUCGACCAAUCGCAACCGUUUUCUAUUCAAGAUUUUUUUAAACAGCUGUAUAAAAUGUAAAACCGCAUUUUCGGAGUCGUGAUUUGAGGUGUAACAAGCUAAGAUGACGGGUAAGUUUUUAACUUAAGACGCAAAUCUUUUUUUCUCUUUCUGGUUUAACAUCUUUAUUUUCAGACGCUAUUGUCAUAUCGGACGGCGAGUGGGAAGAAAUUCCUAUUGAGGAAUUAACUUGUAAAACUCCGGUCCCUCUCGAUGAUUUGUCUAAAAUUAAUCGUGCGGUCGAGAAUCUGAAAAAGGAGGGGGUUCAACCUUACCCCGGAAGUGAUAACUUUUACCCAACCACGCCUCCAUCCACCAGCCGAACCGUCUUACAUUCGUAUCAGCCCAGCCAUACCGUCAGAUCACACGCGAAUGCGAACGUGAAAGCUGUUCGUUACAGGACCAUCACGCCACAGACGAUCCUCGAAGCUGGUAAGUGAUUACAAAAUAGCGAUUAAUAAGUCAGAGAUGUGUCGUUCAUAUUUAUCGUUUUUAUUCUCCAGAGCAACGGCCCACGGCCUACGCACCCCCAAUAUCUCAGCCCCCACCACCUCCAACCCCUUCUCAUGCGCAGACGGAUGAACAACAUCAGACAGCCGCUUCAAUAUCUCCGCCCACACCUCCUCCUCCUCCUCCUCCUCCCCCUUCUCCUGCACAGGGUAAGAGAUAUAUAAAAAGGUGGUUAUUUACUUCAAAGAUGAUUCGUUCAUAUUUUUCCUUGUUUUUAUUCUUUCAGAACAAUCCAACAGCGACUCUGAAACCGCUGAACGUGCUCCUGAGCAGCCAGCCGGUAAGCUGUUUCACAAAACCGCUCCGCAGAGUAUAUUAAAUUUUGAAGUAAAAAAAUAUGUUUUUUAUCCUUUCAGAACAACCCACGACCG
Nothobranchius furzeri (turquoise killifish) is the source of this 1229-nucleotide non-coding RNA. NCBI's taxonomy places the organism in Eukaryota, Metazoa, Chordata, Actinopteri, Cyprinodontiformes, Nothobranchiidae. The record is from RefSeq and is a predicted model, not a curated record.